This 67-nucleotide transfer RNA is filed under the name Microdevario nanus. Its description in RNAcentral is "tRNA-Ser". The record is from RNAcentral. Lineage: Eukaryota; Metazoa; Chordata; Actinopteri; Cypriniformes; Danionidae.
AGGAAGAGCAAGAAAACGAUAAGUCCUGCUAAUACUUAUUACCAGGGUUAAACUCCGUGGCUUUCUC